GCCUGGGUGGCGGAAUUGGUAGACGCGCUAGCUUCAGGUGCUAGUUGGAGCAAUCCAGUGGAGGUUCAAGUCCUCUCCCAGGCACCA
Molecule: transfer RNA, 87 nt
Filed under: Gammaproteobacteria bacterium
Lineage: Bacteria; Pseudomonadati; Pseudomonadota; Gammaproteobacteria
Also listed under: 1 other name
Description: tRNA-Leu
Rfam family: tRNA
About the family: Transfer RNA (tRNA) molecules are approximately 80 nucleotides in length.
Source: RNAcentral